RNAcentral lists this ribosomal RNA (463 nucleotides) under uncultured bacterium. RNAcentral's name for it is "partial 16S ribosomal RNA". It matches the Rfam family "Bacterial small subunit ribosomal RNA", at positions 29 to 523 of the family's 1533-position model. The record is from RNAcentral.
AACGAACGCUGGCGGCAGGCUUAACACAUGCAAGUCGAACGCGCCCUUCGGGGCGAGUGGCAGACGGGUGAGUAACGCGUGGGAACCUACCUUUUGGUACGGAAUAACUCAGGGAAACUUGAGCUAAUACCGUAUAAGCCCUGACUUUUAAUCGGGUCUGGGGAAAGAUUCAUCGCCAAAGGAUGGGCCCGCGCCGGAUUAGCUAGUUGGUGGGGUAAUGGCCUACCAAGGCGACGAUCCGUAGCUGGUCUGAGAGGAUGAUCAGCCACACUGGGACUGAGACACGGCCCAGACUCCUACGGGAGGCAGCAGUGGGGAAUAUUGGACAAUGGGGGCAACCCUGGUCCAGCCAUGCCGCGUGAGUGAUGAAGGCCUUAGGGUUGUAAAGCUCUUUCGCCGGUGAAGAUAAUGACGGUAACCGGAGAAGAAGCCCCGGCUAACUUCGUGCCAGCCGCCGCGGUAA